Molecule: non-coding RNA, 2350 nt
Organism: Anas platyrhynchos (mallard)
Lineage: Eukaryota; Metazoa; Chordata; Aves; Anseriformes; Anatidae
Source: RefSeq, a predicted model, not a curated record
CCUCCCCCGCUAUUUUAAAUUCAUUUUCCAUUUGCAUGAUUUCCUUCGCUCUAAAGCACGAGGAGGAAGUCCAGGCCGUGCUGCCCGGGCACACUGAUUCAGUCUGGGCACGCCAAGCCAAAACCAAAAUCAGGAGAAACGGGCAAAAAAAAUAAUCUGUGUUAUCAAAUUGUGUGCUCUUUAACAAGCUCCCCUUUUAUUAUCAGCCUGGUACAGAUGCAAGCAAAUAGUUUGCCUCAAAUGCUUUUCACAAACCCAGGAGUGUCAGAGUUGCAUCCAAGUGAGGACACCGAGACAUCCCUGAGGCUGGAACAUAAAACAAAGACGUGAAGGCAAGGCCUGGCACCUUGUGCCGGCCAAAAUCCUCAAGCAAGAGCAGAAUUUACAAAGCCAGUGCUUAAAAAUGACCGGCCUCCUGUCUUCCCAGGCUUUAAUAAAUGGUGCUGGGGAAGCGCCCUUUGUCUCUGUCCGAAGCUGACCCGCAGGAUGCGCGUACCGGGCAUGUAACAGUUUUCCCCGCUUCCCCGCAAGCCAAAUCGUUUUCGCACAAGGUAUGGAAGGGGAUUCAUGGAGCUGCCGGAACCCGGCGGACAAGGCAGAAGCGGAUGGGCAGGCAAGAGAAACGAGACGCCUGAGGGGUGUUAACAACCAUCCUAACAACAUGGAAGCGGCCCCAAAAACAUCGAACCGAGCAGCGCCAAAGAACAAGGCGAUGGCAGUAACAUCCAGUUUGAAAAUGGAAUUUGGCCCAAAGGUCGAGGCAAAGAGCCUUUCCUUUUCAGGUGGAAAGGGAUGGAGCAGCACCAGGGGCCAACUGACGUGGUGCCAUCCCCACAUCCCCAGUGGGACCCGGCAAGCAGAGGUACGGCUGCAGACAAGGGGGAUGCCAGGCGUGCCUUAGGAUGAAAUGCUUGGGAACAGGCUCCAGUCAUGCCCAGGAAAGGAGGAACGCCAGCUCUUGCUAUCCAAUCAAUGCAUUCUGAAAGGAAACAGCAAGAAGCUAAGAAAACAAAUAGUUUAAGGAGAAGCUCAACUAAUUCUCUUCCACAGCUUCACAUAAAAGUCCUUCCAGUUUUGAGCAGGAAUACUUUGCAAUAAAGCAAACCUGCAACCAUUGCUUCCAGACACAUUGUGCAAAUAACGAAUCCCAUAAAAUUAGCAGCAGCCAAAUGGCAAAUAAUAUUUCCUGGUGACAUUUGCCAAAAAGCUUUACACACCAUUAACUGAGUCUCACAACGAGCAAUCAGCAGGAGCUUCGUUUCCUCCAGCGCAGUAAGAGGGGACCCUGCAGCACCGGAGCUGCUGCAGACGUGAGGCUGAUCCCCACAAAGCCUCAUCCUCGAGCCAUUCCCACGCAGGGAGUAGUGCCGUUAGGACCCACAAAACUUUGAUGUAACCCCCAGAAAACAGUUUUAAUAGUGAACCGCAGCAGAUGCACAGGAAAGGGGAAGAGCUGGGAGCACAGGGCGCCCCGCAGCCCUCGAGCUGCCCCGGUGACCACAGAAAUCCAUCUGUUUACUUGAAAAGGUGCCUGGAGAUCGUGGCCUUCACAGGUUCCUGUUUCAGGUGCCUGGAGCCCCCUGGCUAGGCCAGGUCCUGCAGAACCAGAGAUGUUUUGGCACCAGGUCUCUUCAUACAGCCCAUGAGGGAGAUGUGGCUCACCACGAGUCCCGCUAGAAGCCAGCAGGCUCACCCAUCACACAGGGCACACAACUAAGCAGAGGAACCCCCGCAGGAUGCUGCCAAGCUGCUGCGUGUCAUGGAGCACCCAGGACCACCACCACGGAGCUGCCAGCAGCCUCGGGCUGUUUGACCAGAGCUGCAGCAGAGAGGUUUCCUUCACGGCACUCCAGACACAGCAGAUGCUCACGAUUUGGGAUAUACGAUCCAGGGUAGCUGAAGCACAAGGGCAGAAGAGGUAAACAAACUGUUCUGCACCUGAAUAAGCAGCAGCGCUGCUGUGUUGCUGAUGAUGUUCUGGGUUCGUGCACAACAGAAUGUUUUACCAGGGACGUGUCGUAGCAGAAAUAUCAGGGUGUGUCAGUCACGUAUUUGUAUUUGCAAUUAACGCCGGUUCUGCCUCGAGGAAUGCACCGUUUUGUUACCUCUAAUGCUUGCGUGCCAUUCAUCUGCAAUUACCGUGUCAGGAAAAAUGGAAGGCAGUAAUUCUGUACCACAAAGAUUUUUGUUCAUUGCAGGAGCUCUUGAAUUGGAGAGUGUCCUUUUAGGGUAAUAAAAAAUGAAAUGAAAUGCAAAUUCUGUAGAAAAUGACCUAAUUGCUUCUCAUUUCAUGCAUUUAUUUGGGAUCUCAAAUCACCCAACUAUCUGCUCAGAAUUCUCUCUGAUUGAA